AAUCUUCCGCAAUGGACGAAAGUCUGACGGAGCAACGCCGCGUGAGCGAAGAAGAUCUUCGGAUCGUAAAGCUCUGUUGUUAGGGAAGAACAAGUACCGGAGUAACUGUCGGUACCUUGACGGUACCUAACCAGAAAGCCACGGCUAACUACGUGCCAGCAGCCGCGGUAAUACGUAGGUGGCAAGCGUUGUCCGGAAUCAUUGGGCGUAAAGCGCGCGCAGGCGGUCCUUUAAGUCUGAUGUGAAAUCUUGCGGCUCAACCGUAAGCGGUCAUUGGAAACUGGGGGACUUGAGUGCAGAAGAGGAAAGUGGAAUUCAAAGUGUAGCGGUGAAAUGCGUAGAGAUUUGGAGGAACACCAGUGGCGAAGGCGACUUUCUGGUCUGUAACUGACGCUGAGGCGCGAAAGCGUGGGGAGCAAACAGG
Molecule: ribosomal RNA, 424 nt
Filed under: uncultured bacterium
Lineage: Bacteria
Description: partial 16S ribosomal RNA
Rfam family: Bacterial small subunit ribosomal RNA
Source: RNAcentral